UUUACAUAAACAUAUUUGCAUGUUUUAAGCAUUGGCAGGCCAAAUCAAGAACUGCAGUUUCAGGAUCUCGGUAUGUGGAAAUAUUUUUUUAAAAUUUACUUAUUCAAGGGACUAGAGCACUAGCCCAAUCUACUUGUCUAUAAUGAUAAUGUACUUGUCAUCACACAAAAUAAUUUUGGCUCAAGGUACCUGUGACGGAACGCUGGCACUCCGACU
Molecule: non-coding RNA, 216 nt
Organism: Pelobates cultripes (western spadefoot toad)
Lineage: Eukaryota; Metazoa; Chordata; Amphibia; Anura; Pelobatidae
Source: the annotation of a GenBank genome assembly